GGGGAAUUUUGGACAAUGGGGGCAACCCUGAUCCAGCCAUGCCGCGUGUAUGAAGAAGGCCUUCGGGUUGUAAAGUACUUUUGUUGGGGAAGAAAAGCCUGCCGCUAAUACCGGUGGGUCAUGACGGUACCCAAAGAAUAAGCACCGGCUAACUACGUGCCAGCAGCCGCGGUAAUACGUAGGGUGCAAGCGUUAAUCGGAAUUACUGGGCGUAAAGCGAGCGCAGACGGUUAUUUAAGUCAGGUGUGAAAUCCCCGAGCUCAACUUGGGAAUGGCGCUUGAAACUGGGUAACUAGAGUGUGUCAGAGGGGGGUAGAAUUCCACGUGUAGCAGUGAAAUGCGUAGAGAUGUGGAGGAAUACCGAUGGCGAAGGCAGCCCCCUGGGAUAACACUGACGUUCAUGCUCGAAAGCGUGGGUAGCAAAC
Molecule: ribosomal RNA, 425 nt
Filed under: uncultured bacterium
Lineage: Bacteria
Description: bacterial SSU rRNA
Rfam family: Bacterial small subunit ribosomal RNA
Source: RNAcentral